Molecule: long non-coding RNA, 334 nt
Organism: Ipomoea nil (Japanese morning glory)
Lineage: Eukaryota; Viridiplantae; Streptophyta; Magnoliopsida; Solanales; Convolvulaceae
Exons: 3
Source: RefSeq, a predicted model, not a curated record
UUCAGUAUGGAUGGAUCUCUGUUGGUGUCUAGAUCAGAGGAUGGAACGAUUCGAGUCUGGGAUACUAAAAACCACAUCACUCGCAUCUUUAGGCAUGGAAAAGAACAACUCAAUAUAUGCAUGGGAUGGUCUUGUUAAGCUGCACCAUUCUGUUAUGCAGAAGAAGCUGCAGUGGCAGAAGGAGAAGAUGGGAGAUGGAACUCACUUAUGUACUUCAUUCUCAAGUCAGUAAUUAGCACUAUAUACAAAGAGAUAUGGAAUAGUGAAUGGUAUAGUUGAAGUUGAAGGUGAGAAAGCUGAAGCAGUGUCUAUGGACCAAGAAGAUCAAUGACAA